Molecule: long non-coding RNA, 478 nt
Filed under: Pongo abelii (Sumatran orangutan)
Lineage: Eukaryota; Metazoa; Chordata; Mammalia; Primates; Hominidae
Description: lincRNA
Source: RNAcentral
GGCUUCAAGCCCGUCGCGGCUGGGCUGGGCUGGGCUGGCAGGCGGGCCCAGCCGGGCAGGGCUGCGGUGAUAAUGGCGGCGGCUCUCUUUCCUUCCUUCCUCCUUUCCUCCGUCCCCCCGGUCGUGGGGAGCCCGGAGCAGGAGGUGGGCCCGCGGCCAGGUUCUGGGCCGGAGAAGGGGCGACGUUCGGGCACCCCCCGAAUGGACAAUCUUUCCUUCUGUCGACGGCAGGGGCAGGCCUAGUUUGACUCUGACAGUCCUCCCACUAAGGAAUUCCUGGUGACUGGAAGGGGAGUGACUUGGGUCCUCAACCUCUAGCAGAGUGCCUUGGCUCCCUCCUGUGGUCCUGGGGAACCUCGGCCCCAGCCCUGCCUCCCCAGCCAGUCACAGCUCCUCCCUGGUCACCCUGAGGGAGCUCAGGGCCUGGCUGGUGGCUGGGCUCGUCUCCUUCUGUCCCCCACUCCUGUGGAGCCUGGCA